UACGUAGGGUGCGAGCGUUGUCCGGAAUUAUUGGGCGUAAAGGGCUCGUAGGCGGUUUGUCGCGUCGGGAGUGAAAACCUUGGGCUUAACUCAGGGCUUGCUUUCGAUACGGGCAGACUAGAGGUAUGCAGGGGAGAACGGAAUUCCUGGUGUAGCGGUGAAAUGCGCAGAUAUCAGGAGGAACACCGGUGGCGAAGGCGGUUCUCUGGGCCGAUAUUGACGCUGAGGAGCGAAAGCGUGGGGAGCAAACGGG
This 253-nucleotide ribosomal RNA is filed under the name uncultured bacterium. Its description in RNAcentral is "partial 16S ribosomal RNA". It matches the Rfam family "Bacterial small subunit ribosomal RNA", at positions 524 to 776 of the family's 1533-position model. The record is from RNAcentral.